UCCGUAGACAGUACUGUAAGUUAUUUGUUAAAUCCUAAAGCUCAACUUUAGAAAAGCAUUUAAUACUACUUUACCUGAGUUUUGUUCAGAAGAGUAGAAUUUCAUGUUUAGGGAUAACCCCCGUAGAUAUAUGGAGGAACACCAGUAGCGAAGGCGACUCUUUGGUAAAAACUGACGUUGAGGGACGAAAGUGUAGGGAGCAAACA
RNAcentral lists this ribosomal RNA (206 nucleotides) under uncultured bacterium. RNAcentral describes it as "partial 16S ribosomal RNA". It matches the Rfam family "Bacterial small subunit ribosomal RNA", at positions 568 to 774 of the family's 1533-position model. The record is from RNAcentral.